UCAGAUGGCAGAGCUGAGGCUGC
Molecule: microRNA, 23 nt
Filed under: Columba livia (rock pigeon)
Lineage: Eukaryota; Metazoa; Chordata; Aves; Columbiformes; Columbidae
Description: cli-miR-9640-3p
Source: miRBase by way of RNAcentral